GAUGAACGCUGGCGGCGUGCCUAAUACAUGCAAGUCGAGCGAACAGAUGAGGAGCUUGCUCCUCUGACGUUAGCGGCGGACGGGUGAGUAACACGUGGAUAACCUACCUAUAAGACUGGGAUAACUUCGGGAAACCGGAGCUAAUACCGGAUAAUAUAUUGAACCGCAUGGUUCAAUAGUGAAAGACGGUUUUGCUGUCACUUAUAGAUGGAUCCGCGCCGCAUUAGCUAGUUGGUAAGGUAACGGCCUACCAAGGCAACGAUGCGUAGCCGACCUGAGAGGGUGAUCGGCCACACUGGAACUGAGACACGGUCCAGACUCCUACGGGAGGCAGCAGUAGGGAAUCUUCCGCAAUGGGCGAAAGCUUGACGGAGCAACGCCGCGUGAGUGAUGAAGGUCUUCGGAUCGUAAAACUCUGUUAUUAGGGAAGAACAAAUGUGUAAGUAACUAUGCACGUCUUGACGGUACCUAAUCAGAAAGCCACGGCUAACUACGU
Molecule: ribosomal RNA, 496 nt
Filed under: uncultured bacterium
Lineage: Bacteria
Description: partial 16S ribosomal RNA
Rfam family: Bacterial small subunit ribosomal RNA
Source: RNAcentral